This 473-nucleotide ribosomal RNA is filed under the name uncultured bacterium. Its description in RNAcentral is "bacterial SSU rRNA". It matches the Rfam family "Bacterial small subunit ribosomal RNA", at positions 335 to 799 of the family's 1533-position model. The record is from RNAcentral.
ACUCCUACGGGAGGCAGCAGUGGGGAAUAUUGCACAAUGGGGGAAACCCUGAUGCAGCCAUGCCGCGUAUGUGAAGAAGGCCUUCGGGUUGUAAAGCACUUUCAGUAGGGAGGAAGGUAGUGUAGUUAACACCUGCACUAUUUGACGUUACCUACAGAAGAAGCACCGGCUAACUCCGUGCCAGCAGCCGCGGUAAUACGGAGGGUGCGAGCGUUAAUCGGAAUUACUGGGCGUAAAGCGCAUGCAGGCGGCCUGUUAAGUCAGAUGUGAAAGCCCGGGGCUUAACCUCGGAAUUGCAUUUGAAACUGGCAGGCUAGAGUCUUGUAGAGGGGGGUAGAAUUUCAGGUGUAGCGGUGAAAUGCGUAGAGAUCUGAAGGAAUACCAGUGGCGAAGGCGGCCCCCUGGACAAAGACUGACGCUCAGAUGCGAAAGCGUGGGGAGCAAACAGGAUUAGAUACCCUGGUAGCACAGAG